Molecule: long non-coding RNA, 238 nt
Organism: Wyeomyia smithii (pitcher-plant mosquito)
Lineage: Eukaryota; Metazoa; Arthropoda; Insecta; Diptera; Culicidae
Exons: 2
Source: RefSeq, a predicted model, not a curated record
UCAAAUGUGGCAACCCUGCUUGCGUGUUGUUUUUGUUAUUUUUUUACAAUUAAAAGCAAACCAAGCAAACCGUCUGAAAAAAGGAGGAAAUUGAAAUGUUUGAAAUUAGUUGUUAUCGGACUCGUUGGUUGGAUAUACACGAAUAAAUUUGAAGAUCUCCCGUGUCCCGGAGAACAAAGGUAAAUUUCUUGAAGUAAGCCUUUUUUUAAAUAAAAUUCAAUAAAAAGGCAAAAUAUAA